AAGUCGUAACAAGGUUUCCGUAGGUGAACCUGCGGAAGGAUCAUUAUCCUUUAGCGUAGCGCUCUUAUGAGCACUACAAGCGCAUGCACUCAUGUGUUGCGUUAAAAUGCACAAACGCUCGGGCCUCGUCCUGUUCGUUUUCAAAAUCCAUGUUCGCUCGAACAUGGUCGGGUACCUACGUUGUGUUCGCACAACGUAAGCGAUAGACGCGCGUCUGUCGUGUGGCGUAAAGAUUAUUCAAGCUUAAGAAUAACGCCCGCUUAGCACAAUUUUUAUUACAAAUUUUAAAUCGCUUAUUAUGUUGUAUGUGUAAAGCAAUAUCUUGUUUUCUUAAUAAGAUAAUAACACAAAUACAACCCUAUGCGGUGGAUCAUUUGGCUC
RNAcentral lists this unclassified non-coding RNA (381 nucleotides) under fungal sp. Its description in RNAcentral is "partial internal transcribed spacer region". The stretch from base 1 to 46 matches the Rfam family "Eukaryotic small subunit ribosomal RNA", at positions 1786 to 1831 of the family's 1831-position model. Lineage: Eukaryota; Fungi. The record is from RNAcentral.